This 1605-nucleotide ribosomal RNA is filed under the name Salmonella enterica subsp. enterica serovar Muenchen. RNAcentral describes it as "bacterial LSU rRNA". It matches the Rfam family "Bacterial large subunit ribosomal RNA", at positions 1225 to 2812 of the family's 2925-position model. Lineage: Bacteria; Pseudomonadati; Pseudomonadota; Gammaproteobacteria; Enterobacterales; Enterobacteriaceae. The record is from RNAcentral.
UGGGUAGGGGAGCGUUCUGUAAGCCUGUGAAGGUGGCCUGUGAGGGUUGCUGGAGGUAUCAGAAGUGCGAAUGCUGACAUAAGUAACGAUAAAGCGGGUGAAAAGCCCGCUCGCCGGAAGACCAAGGGUUCCUGUCCAACGUUAAUCGGGGCAGGGUGAGUCGACCCCUAAGGCGAGGCCGAAAGGCGUAGUCGAUGGGAAACGGGUUAAUAUUCCCGUACUUGGUGUUACUGCGAAGGGGGGACGGAGAAGGCUAUGUUGGCCGGGCGACGGUUGUCCCGGUUUAAGCGUGUAGGUGUGUGUUCCAGGUAAAUCCGGUUCACUUUAACACUGAGGCGUGAUGACGAGGCACUACGGUGCUGAAGCAACAAAUGCCCUGCUUCCAGGAAAAGCCUCUAAGCAUCAGGUAACAUCAAAUCGUACCCCAAACCGACACAGGUGGUCAGGUAGAGAAUACCAAGGCGCUUGAGAGAACUCGGGUGAAGGAACUAGGCAAAAUGGUGCCGUAACUUCGGGAGAAGGCACGCUGACACGUAGGUGAAGUGAUUUACUCAUGGAGCUGAAGUCAGUCGAAGAUACCAGCUGGCUGCAACUGUUUAUUAAAAACACAGCACUGUGCAAACACGAAAGUGGACGUAUACGGUGUGACGCCUGCCCGGUGCCGGAAGGUUAAUUGAUGGGGUCAGCGCAAGCGAAGCUCCUGAUCGAAGCCCCGGUAAACGGCGGCCGUAACUAUAACGGUCCUAAGGUAGCGAAAUUCCUUGUCGGGUAAGUUCCGACCUGCACGAAUGGCGUAAUGAUGGCCAGGCUGUCUCCACCCGAGACUCAGUGAAAUUGAACUCGCUGUGAAGAUGCAGUGUACCCGCGGCAAGACGGAAAGACCCCGUGAACCUUUACUAUAGCUUGACACUGAACAUUGAGCCUUGAUGUGUAGGAUAGGUGGGAGGCUUUGAAGUGUGGACGCCAGUCUGCAUGGAGCCGACCUUGAAAUACCACCCUUUAAUGUUUGAUGUUCUAACGUGGACCCGUUACCCGGGUUGCGGACAGUGUCUGGUGGGUAGUUUGACUGGGGCGGUCUCCUCCUAAAGAGUAACGGAGGAGCACGAAGGUUGGCUAAUCCUGGUCGGACAUCAGGAGGUUAGUGCAAUGGCAUAAGCCAGCUUGACUGCGAGCGUGACGGCGCGAGCAGGUGCGAAAGCAGGUCAUAGUGAUCCGGUGGUUCUGAAUGGAAGGGCCAUCGCUCAACGGAUAAAAGGUACUCCGGGGAUAACAGGCUGAUACCGCCCAAGAGUUCAUAUCGACGGCGGUGUUUGGCACCUCGAUGUCGGCUCAUCACAUCCUGGGGCUGAAGUAGGUCCCAAGGGUAUGGCUGUUCGCCAUUUAAAGUGGUACGCGAGCUGGGUUUAGAACGUCGUGAGACAGUUCGGUCCCUAUCUGCCGUGGGCGCUGGAGAACUGAGGGGGGCUGCUCCUAGUACGAGAGGACCGGAGUGGACGCAUCACUGGUGUUCGGGUUGUCAUGCCAAUGGCACUGCCCGGUAGCUAAAUGCGGAAGAGAUAAGUGCUGAAAGCAUCUAAGCACGAAACUUGCCCCGAGAUGAGUUCU